This 461-nucleotide ribosomal RNA is filed under the name Triticum aestivum (bread wheat). RNAcentral describes it as "partial small subunit ribosomal RNA". The record is from RNAcentral. Lineage: Eukaryota; Viridiplantae; Streptophyta; Magnoliopsida; Poales; Poaceae.
GGUGCGCUUUGGUGCGCCGAGCUUUGGGAGCAGGUCGCUGAGUCCCUUAGCGAGCAGGGGCGUGCGGCGGUCGCUCUCCUUCUCUGCUGCGGCGGCGGUGGUGGCUCCCCUUCUCGGGGCGGAGGCGGUGGCUCCCCUUCUCGGGGCGGCCGCUCUCCUCCUCGGGGGUGCGGCGGCGGGCUGAGACGGGCUGCGGCCGCAAUGAGGAGGUCGCAUGACCGGAAGAGGGGCCACCCUGGACUAGAGCGCCUUCUGCCCACUGGUGAAACGACGGUGUUCAGAGGAAGUGUGGCACAUCGGGCGUUUGUACAGAGCCUCGUAAACGGCUAGUUUAAAUACAACAUUACUUGGUAACUGAAAGCAACUAACUUGUAGAACAUAAAAAGUAAACCUGGCACCGUACAUACGUACAUUGUAAAGUAAACUUGUCAACUAUCAUGUACGUUGUCUAAUAUGUUCGG